This 365-nucleotide long non-coding RNA is filed under the name Ursus americanus (American black bear). Its description in RNAcentral is "lncRNA (ENSUAMG00000022962.1)". Lineage: Eukaryota; Metazoa; Chordata; Mammalia; Carnivora; Ursidae. The record is from RNAcentral.
GCGCGUUGGCUGCGGACAGUGCUGCGCACGCGCAGCUUCGCCAUCUUCUUGGUCCCCCCCUCCUGCGCCAACAGGUUUGGUGAAGCCCGAAAUUCCGUUUCCAGAUUUCCCAGUAACUCUCAAGGUCCUGCCUGCCCACCUUCCCAAGAGCAGAGUUGUAUCUUCACAUGUCUCCAUGCUUUUUUAAGAACAUCAGAAAAUGAACAAACCCCAGGGGUCACUGUCAUUUGGAGAUGUGGCUGUGGACUUCUCCCAGGAGGAGUGGCAGCACCUGGACCCUGCUCAGAGGACCCUGUACAGGGAUGUGAUGCUGGAGAACUACCACAACUUUGUUUCAGUGGGUAAGCUAUUUUCACAUCAAGUUU